UUCGACCUCAGUGUAGGAGCAAGCGGACGGGGACACAGCUCUGUCGGUUUGAAACAACACAUCUCCCUUGGCCAAUGGCAAAAACCACAAAGAGCAUUUGAAGAAGCACAUGAAAGGGAAAAGAGUGGCUGGUGCCGACAGGAGUCCUUGAAGGUGCGGGAGUGUUGCGGGCCCCCAAGACUCCAUCUGAAGGUCUUCGUGGAAUGGGUGGUUGCAACUGUGUUUCUAGCCAAACUGUCGCAUUCGGUCAAGCUUCCAGUAACGUUUUCGACAAAGCUACGAGCUGACCAGGGAACACAGCAACACAAGCUGCACAGAAUCAAACCAGGCCAGGGAGACUGUCAGCCGCCUCUCGAAAAUGAAUGAAAAUAUUUGAGGACACAGGUGCAGGGAAUGGGCCGGGAGCACGAUCCUUUUUAAUAAGCGUUCCUGGCUUCCUGCCCUGACACUUGGCCAGUUAAAAUCAAGCUUACUGACAAGCCAGAGUCGUGCCAGCUAAUCAGCAGUAAAUUAUCAAUUGUUCUAUUUCCAAAAUAGCAAGUAAACAGGAAAGACAGCGCAGCCUGAAGAAAUAAAAUCAGGUCGGAAAUCCAUUGUUUGCCCAAUUAUCUU
This is a long non-coding RNA of Pelodiscus sinensis (Chinese soft-shelled turtle), 612 nucleotides long. RefSeq lists it as uncharacterized. The record is from RefSeq and is a predicted model, not a curated record. NCBI's taxonomy places the organism in Eukaryota, Metazoa, Chordata, Testudines, Trionychidae.